GCCAGCAUGGCAUAGUGGUUUGAGUGUUGGACUACAACUCUGGAGAUGAGGGUUCAAAUCCCGGCUUGGCC
This is a non-coding RNA of Phrynosoma platyrhinos (Desert horned lizard), 71 nucleotides long. The record is from the annotation of a GenBank genome assembly. Lineage: Eukaryota; Metazoa; Chordata; Lepidosauria; Squamata; Phrynosomatidae.